UCCAUUUACAGCUGCUGAUGAUCAUUGUU
RNAcentral lists this non-coding RNA (29 nucleotides) under Rattus norvegicus (Norway rat). The record is from RNAcentral. Lineage: Eukaryota; Metazoa; Chordata; Mammalia; Rodentia; Muridae.